UGGGGAAUAUUGCACAAUGGGCGCAAGCCUGAUGCAGCCAUGCCGCGUGUGUGAAGAAGGCCUUCGGGUUGUAAAGCACUUUCAGCAAGGAGGAAAGGGUGUAAGUUAAUACCUUACAUCUGUGACGUUACUUGCAGAAGAAGCACCGGCUAACUCCGUGCCAGCAGCCGCGGUAAUACGGAGGGUGCGAGCGUUAAUCGGAAUUACUGGGCGUAAAGCGUACGCAGGCGGUUUGUUAAGCGAGAUGUGAAAGCCCCGGGCUUAACCUGGGAACUGCAUUUCGAACUGGCAGGCUAGAGUGUGAUAGAGGGUGGUAGAAUUUCAGGUGUAGCGGUGAAAUGCGUAGAGAUCUGAAGGAAUACCGAUGGCGAAGGCAGCCACCUGGGUCAACACUGACGCUCAUGUACGAAAGCGUGGGGAGCAAACAGG
This 429-nucleotide ribosomal RNA is filed under the name uncultured bacterium. RNAcentral's name for it is "bacterial SSU rRNA". It matches the Rfam family "Bacterial small subunit ribosomal RNA", at positions 355 to 776 of the family's 1533-position model. The record is from RNAcentral.